This 176-nucleotide small nuclear RNA is filed under the name Myotis brandtii (Brandt's bat). RNAcentral's name for it is "U1 spliceosomal RNA". It matches the Rfam family "U1 spliceosomal RNA". From Rfam's summary of the family: U1 is a small nuclear RNA (snRNA) component of the spliceosome (involved in pre-mRNA splicing). The record is from Rfam by way of RNAcentral. Lineage: Eukaryota; Metazoa; Chordata; Mammalia; Chiroptera; Vespertilionidae.
AUACUUACCUGGCAGGGGAGGUGCCCUGAUCAUGAAGGUGGUUUUCCAGGGCGAGGCUUACCCAUUGCACUCCGCAUGUGCAGACCCCAGCGAUUUCCCCAAAUAUGGGAAACUCGACUGCAUGAUUUGUGGUAAUGGGGUGUGGGGGGGGGGGACUGUGUUCACACUCUCCCCUA